RNAcentral lists this ribosomal RNA (242 nucleotides) under uncultured Veillonellaceae bacterium. RNAcentral describes it as "partial 16S ribosomal RNA". It matches the Rfam family "Bacterial small subunit ribosomal RNA", at positions 109 to 334 of the family's 1533-position model. Lineage: Bacteria; Bacillati; Bacillota; Negativicutes; Veillonellales; Veillonellaceae. The record is from RNAcentral.
AGUAACACGUAAACAACCUGCCUUCAGGAUGGGGACAACAGACGGAAACGACUGCUAAUACCGAAUACGUUCCACGGGCCGCAUGACCUGUGGAAGAAAGGGUAGCCUCUACCUGUAAGCUAUCGCCUGAAGAGGGGUUUGCGUCUGAUUAGGCAGUUGGUGGGGUAACGGCCCACCAAACCAACGAUCAGUAGCCGGUCUGAGAGGAUGAACGGCCACACUGGAACUGAGACACGGUCCAG